GCCCGGCUAGCGCAAUGGUAGCGCGUAAGACUUCUACUUUCGAGGACCUCUUCCAGGAGAUCAAAAGAAGCGCAUGCAAUCUUAAGGUUGCGGGUUCGAGUCCCGCGUCGGGUU
This is a non-coding RNA of Cladorrhinum sp. PSN332, 114 nucleotides long. The record is from the annotation of a GenBank genome assembly. NCBI's taxonomy places the organism in Eukaryota, Fungi, Ascomycota, Sordariomycetes, Sordariales, Podosporaceae.